Molecule: long non-coding RNA, 1043 nt
Filed under: Coffea arabica (coffee)
Lineage: Eukaryota; Viridiplantae; Streptophyta; Magnoliopsida; Gentianales; Rubiaceae
Description: long non-coding RNA (CARA_LNC004153)
Source: RNAcentral
AGAGAUGAAGAGAAGACAAAAACAGCAUAAAAGCCAAAAUCAAAAGUUUUAUAUAUCUAUGCUCAUUUGGCACCUAGCACUGCUACUGGGAAGCAUGAAUUGGGUAGAACUUUCUGUUCCCUUUGGGCUGAGGAUCGCCUAGGUAAGCAAUUUGGGAUUGUUUAGUUUUUGGCAAUACCACAUUGGUAAAUUUCUUCUUGUUGAUAUUGUAACAAAUUCUUUGCCUCACCAUUUUCUGUCCUCCAUAACCUCUCUUGUCGUUGCCUCCGUCUAUUUCGACACAGGUGGCCUGCCCUCUCUUAAUUUCUUGGUCCCAAAACAGAGUAUUCCGUGCAAAAAUGGACCAAUUCUAGGAGAAGUAUCACUAUCUGUUAUGGUCCAUUUGCCAUGCCUAGUAGUACGAGUUCCCCAGACUGUUUCACUGCUUUAGGAAACUCAGUGCUGUUAAAGGUAAUGGCGUGGAGCUUAAAUGCAGCAUUUAUUAGGCGUACGAUUACAGCCUGAUGAUGUCCCGUGUAUAACAGGAUGCUUUGAUUUGUUCCUGUGUGUUUUAUCCUAUACCGCUCACUUCCACUUAUCCAAACCGACAUGCUUUAAAUUGGUUCAAGGGUAGCACCGAAGCUGCUGUUUGCUGCACAUUUUGGCAACCACAGUGGCCCUUAAAGUUGCCUUUGUGGGGUGAGAAGUGGGGGGUGCAAUCCUUAUCUCCGGUUAAUCGUCGCUUAUACGCGGCUUCUUCAAAUCCAAUGGGCGUUAAAGGGCACUAGUCUGAUUCAGAAGUGGUUGGUUUAGUUUGGUUCAAUUUUCAACGACCUAGUUGAGUCGAUCCGCUUUCCGAUGUUAUAGAGGUAGGAGUAGGUGUAAAUUAUUGACGUUUGAUUAAAAAAAUUGAUAAACACGGAGAGUGAAAAUUAUUAAAUUAUUUUGCGAAAUAGUACGGUUGUGAGAUGUAUUACUAUUAAGUACAGGAAGGAGAGCGAAAAUAUGAGAACAAAGAGACGUGCCCUUUUUUUCAUCCUAUCUAGUGAGUAGUGACACUUUAG